RNAcentral lists this ribosomal RNA (765 nucleotides) under Triticum aestivum (bread wheat). RNAcentral's name for it is "partial small subunit ribosomal RNA". Lineage: Eukaryota; Viridiplantae; Streptophyta; Magnoliopsida; Poales; Poaceae. The record is from RNAcentral.
AUGGAUGAGGCAAUGUUGAAUGUGUUCGUGGAGCAUUACAAUAGACGGGACAGUGCUCAAAAUGGGUGGAAGCCACAUGUUUACACUAUAGUUGUCAAUAAUGUUCGAGCCAAGUGCAAUGUGGAUAUCACAAAGGAGAAUGUCAUAUCAAGCUGCAAGACUAUUGAUAGACACUAUGUCAAUGUCAGCAAGAUGUUGUCAACGAGUGGUUUGGGUGAUUGGACCCAUAACAAGCUUAUGGUUGAUAGUGAGGACCUGUGGAGCAACUAUGUCAAGGCAAAUAAAGAUGCCGCUUGCUACAGGCACAUGGUCAUAAAGUUUUGGGACUCAAUCAGCCUUGUCUUCUCGAAGGAUCAUGCCAUGGGAACCGGAGCCGGAACUGCCGCUGAAAGUUCUGCGGAAAUGGCUGCGGAGAAUGUGAACAAUGUCAACAUCAAGUCUGCCGCGACAUCUUCUACUCAAACCAGUGAGGAACAUAAGAAGAAAAGAUACCGAUCAGAUGACUCAAUUGCAUCUAUGCUUGGUGAAAAACUGGAUAAUUUUACAAGCGCCUACAAAGCUGACAUUGCUCAAGUUGUUCCUCGCGAUAAACCCUCCUCUCCAGAAGAAAUACUUGAUGCUCUCAAUGCAAUUGCUGGACUGGAUGAUGAUUACUUGCUGGAAGCUUAUGAUAUCCUCAUAGCAGAUGACCGCAAGUUCAAGGCUCUUAUGGCGCUGCCUGAAAGGAUGAAGAAGAAAUGGACCCUCAAGCAAAUCAACCAAUGA